Molecule: long non-coding RNA, 389 nt
Organism: Oreochromis aureus
Lineage: Eukaryota; Metazoa; Chordata; Actinopteri; Cichliformes; Cichlidae
Exons: 3
Source: RefSeq, a predicted model, not a curated record
CGCAUUUAUGGAGCUGAGUCACGGACGUCUGGUGUCGGAGUAUUGUCGCUUUCACUAAUGCCUGUCCCGCCUGCCUGCUCGCCUGCCUAGUUUUCUUUGUGAUUGGCUUCCUUGGAUCCGUGACGGGGAGUUACUUUGCACCUGUUUGUGACCACUGCUACAGCUGUAGUUCUGUGUUUCAAGUAGCUCCGGUGCGUCAUCUGUCCACCCGCAUACCUCGGCUCCGUUUCAUCUCUUCAGCUCUGCUCAUUUUGCACAUUUUACUUGUUAUUGUAUAUAGUCCUUUCCCUUGUAAAUAUUCUCCCACCGUCGUAUAUAAAUCUGCAUCACUACUAUCCUGUGCCCGUGUGUUUCUGCCACUAAAUCCAUCCGUGUCAACUCACCUAACG